Non-coding RNA from Picea glauca (white spruce), 121 nucleotides. The record is from Rfam. Lineage: Eukaryota; Viridiplantae; Streptophyta; Pinopsida; Pinales; Pinaceae.
ACAUGCCUACAACAUAGCGUUAAUGCAUUGGAUCCCAUUAGAACUCUGCAGUUAAGCACGCUCAUGCUAGAGUAGUACUGGGAUGGGUGACCGCCGGGGAAGUCCUAGUGUUUUACAUGCC